CAGCAGCCGCGGUAAUACGUAGGGUGCGAGCGUUGCCCGGAUUUAUUGGGCGUACAGCGCGCGCAGGCGGACCGAGACGUGCCGUGUGACAACUCACCGCUCACCGGUGAGAGGCCAGGGUAAACGGACGGUCUGGAGGGUUGGAGAGGGAUGUGGAAUACCCGGUGGAGCGGUGAAAUGCGUAGAGAUCGGGUGGAACACCAGAGGCGAAGGCGGCAUCCUGGCCAAUACCUGACGCUGAGGCGCGAGAGCGUGGGGAGCAAACGGGAUUAGAUACCCCGGUAGUCCACGCCGUAAACGAUGCGGACUAGGUGUCGGGGGUAUCGACCCCCUCGGCGCCGCAGCUAACGCAUUAAGUCCGCCGCCUGGGGACUACGGCCGCAAGGCUAAAACUCAAAGGAAUUGACGG
Molecule: ribosomal RNA, 409 nt
Filed under: uncultured bacterium
Lineage: Bacteria
Description: bacterial SSU rRNA
Rfam family: Bacterial small subunit ribosomal RNA
Source: RNAcentral